UGAGCCCAAGUGUGUACCAAAGCGAUCCCUUGUGUAAUAAAAGUUGAAGAAUUACAAAAGUCUCUCUCCAUAUAGCUACAUAUAUUAAACCUUCCAAACUAACUCCAUUUCUUCAUUUAUCAACUAAACAAAAUCUCUUUCCUUCUUACAUUUAAAGGUCUUCUAUCUUUAAAUUGUUCUCCUACAAGGCCUUAUACGAAUACCAUAUAUUACAUAAGAAACCAAAAAUAUAUAAACUCUGAAAUAAUUCAACAAGUUGGCAAUAGUUAGUUAUUCAACUCAAUAACCAAUAACGUUAUUAUUGAGUUGUCCCACAUCAGAG
RNAcentral lists this long non-coding RNA (322 nucleotides) under Nicotiana benthamiana. RNAcentral's name for it is "long non-coding RNA (NBEN_LNC005198)". Lineage: Eukaryota; Viridiplantae; Streptophyta; Magnoliopsida; Solanales; Solanaceae. The record is from RNAcentral.